Long non-coding RNA from Pezoporus occidentalis (night parrot), 965 nucleotides. RefSeq lists it as uncharacterized. The transcript is spliced from 3 exons. Lineage: Eukaryota; Metazoa; Chordata; Aves; Psittaciformes; Psittacidae. The record is from RefSeq and is a predicted model, not a curated record.
UCAGUGCUAUGCAGCAGAUCUGGCAGGGCUGAAGGAUUGAGAAGGACCUGAUCCUGAAUUUAAUAAUAUGUGAGCAGCUCACUUUCCAUUUUCUUUGUAAUCAAACAUUCCCUGAAGUGUAGUAGAAGGCAGGAAGAAAGACACUUGCUAAUUUGAAUUUCAGAAAGCACCUAAACCACAUUCUGAUCUCCAGGUUAAUAAACAAGCCUUUCAUCUUCAGCUCCAGGUUGCCUGAGUUUCAGUGCAAGCGUGAGGGUUGAAACGCAGGAGUCUAAUGCAGACUACUUCCCCACAGAGGCUCACAUGAUCAUCAGAAGGUUAUGUCAUUCUUAGUAUAUUUUAAACUUAAUAAAUCCAUGAUGGUUAGAAAAGAAUUGAGCUUUUUUUUUUUUUUAAAAACCAGCAGAAUGAAAAGCAUCCUAAUUCUCUUCUGUAAUGCAGCUACCCUGUAUUCCUUGCUGUCACUUUGUUUCUCUGAAUAUGAAAAUUUCAAAAUUAAAAAAAAAAGAUUUUUACACAGGAGAAAGAGUGUUAGAAGGACAAGUAACUCUGCAGGUAGGGGUUAGAAGCUGUUUAUAAAUUAGUCCCAUAAAAAUAUAUGUACAUUUUCAUUUGUCAUUGGAAUAUGCAAGUCAGAUUCUCAUGUAGUCGUACAGAGUAAAAUGAAUGGCAUACUCCUUUGUACUUGAAUUAGAAAAUGGGCUGCAGGUCUGUGUAUUCUUGGCAUUUUCUGGCUUUGUAAAGGUUGCAGGCAUAUGGGCCUAGCGUUUCUCGUAGUUUUUGAUUUUUCUGUUUUGACAAUGUGAUACUCUGAGGUAUGGAAGAGUCUGACAUAUCUGGGGCCCUGCAAACUUCUGGAUGGAGUAGCCAGAGCUAAUAUGGUUCACCAAAACCUGGCUUCCAUAUGUUAUAUCCUUCCACCUGGGUUUCAGGAUUUCAUCAUGGGGUCUGGAUUUGUUGGUCUC